RNAcentral lists this microRNA precursor (72 nucleotides) under Cebus imitator (Panamanian white-faced capuchin). RNAcentral's name for it is "miRNA (ENSCCAG00000002027.1)". The record is from RNAcentral. Lineage: Eukaryota; Metazoa; Chordata; Mammalia; Primates; Cebidae.
AGGUUGGUGCAAAAGUAAUUGCAAUUUUUGCCAUUAAAAGUAAUGACAAAAACUGCAGUUACUUUUGCACCA